UUAAGGGCGUACGGUGGAUGCCUUGACUUUAAGAGGCGAUGAAGGACGUGGCGUUGCUGCGAUAAGCUUCGGGGAGACGCAAAGCAGUCUUUGAUCCGGAGAUUUCCGAAUGGGGAAACCCUGUAGAGUAAACCUCUACAACCUUGAGCUUUAUGUUCAAGGAGCAUACCCUGGGAAGUGAAACAUCUCAGUACCAGGAGGAGUAGAGAACAAUAGUUAUUUCCUAAGUAGCGGCGAGCGAAAAGGAAGAAGCCCAAACUCGAGUAGCAAUACUCGGGGGUUGUAAGGUAACAAUUUUUAUUUAUUUAAAGAAGAGUCAAAAAAUAAAUUAUUAGCUUAAGUUCUUGGAAAAGGGCACCAUAGAGGGUGAUAGUCCCGUCUGCGAAAAUAAUUUAUCUCUCGAUAGUGAACUAGUACCGUGAGGGAAAGGUGAAAAGCAGCCCGAUUAGGGCGGUGAAAUAGACCUGAAACCGUAUGUCUACAAGGAGUCGAACUCCGUCUUCGGAUGGAGAACGGCGUGCCUAUUGAAGAAUGAGCCAACGAGUUUAUGCAUACUGCUAGGUUAAGUUGACUAAAACAACAAAGCCGAAGGGAAACCGAGUGUUAAUAGCGCGACUGUAUAUUUAUUUAUACGGGUAGAAUGCAUAAGACCCGAAGCCAGGUGAGCUUGCCAUGAGCAGGAUGAAGUAGGUCGAAAGACUUAUGGAGGUCCGAACGGGUAGAUCGUACAACGUCUUCCGAUGACUUGUGGUAAGGAGUGAAAAGCUAAUCGAACCUGGUAAUAGCUGGUUCUCUCCGAAAUAGCUUUAGGGCUAGCGUCGUGUGUUUCUUUUGGGGG
RNAcentral lists this ribosomal RNA (838 nucleotides) under Candidatus Nomurabacteria bacterium GW2011_GWB1_40_11. RNAcentral's name for it is "bacterial LSU rRNA". It matches the Rfam family "Bacterial large subunit ribosomal RNA", at positions 11 to 901 of the family's 2925-position model. The record is from RNAcentral. Lineage: Bacteria; Candidatus Nomuraibacteriota.